RNAcentral lists this ribosomal RNA (508 nucleotides) under uncultured bacterium. RNAcentral describes it as "partial 16S ribosomal RNA". It matches the Rfam family "Bacterial small subunit ribosomal RNA", at positions 30 to 523 of the family's 1533-position model. The record is from RNAcentral.
AUUGAACGCUGGCGGCAUGCCUUACACAUGCAAGUCGAACGGCAGCGGGGGAGAAGCUUGCUUUUCCUGCCGGCGAGUGGCGAACGGGUGAGUAAUACAUCGGAACGUGCCCUGUAGUGGGGGAUAACUAGUCGAAAGAUUAGCUAAUACCGCAUACGACCUGAGGGUGAAAGUGGGGGACCGCAAGGCCUCAUGCUAUAGGAGCGGCCGAUGUCUGAUUAGCUAGUUGGUGGGGUAAAGGCCUACCAAGGCGACGAUCAGUAGCUGGUCUGAGAGGACGAUCAGCAACACUGGGACGGAGACACGGCCCAGACUCCUACGGGAGGCAGCAGUGGGGAAUUUUGGACAAUGGGCGAAAGACUGAUCCAGCAAUGCCGCGUGUGUGAAGAAGGCCUUCGGGUUGUAAAGCACUUUUGUCCGGAAAGAAAUGGCUCUGGUUAAUACCUGGGGUCGAUGACGGUACCGGAAGAAUAAGGACCGGCUAACUACGUGCCAGCAGCCGCCGUAA